GAUGAACGCUGGCGGCGUGCUUAACACAUGCAAGUCGAACGGUGAAGGCGGAGCUUGCUCUGCUGGAUCAGUGGCGAACGGGUGAGUAACACGUGAGCAAUCUGCCCCUGACGCUGGGAUAAGCGCUGGAAACGGCGACUAAUACUGGAUACGAGCUGCGAAGGCAUCUUCAGCAGCUGGAAAGAAUCUCGGUAAGGGAUGAGCUCGCGGCCUAUCAGCUUGUUGGUGAGGUAAUGGCUCACCAAGGCGUCGACGGGUAGCCGGCCUGAGAGGGUGACCGGCCACCCUGGGACUGCGACACGGCCCAGAGUCCUACGGGAGGCAGCAGUGGGGAAUAUUGCCCAAUGGGCGCAAGCCUGAUGCAGCAACGCCGCGUGUGUGGCGACGGCCUUCGUGUUGUAAACCUCUUUUAGCAGGGAAGAAGCGAAAGUGACGGUACCUGCAGAAAAAGCGCCGGCUAACUACGUG
Molecule: ribosomal RNA, 468 nt
Filed under: uncultured bacterium
Lineage: Bacteria
Description: partial 16S ribosomal RNA
Rfam family: Bacterial small subunit ribosomal RNA
Source: RNAcentral